AUACGGAGGGGAUUAGCGUUGUUCGGAAUCACUGGGCGUAAAGGACGCGUAGGCGGGUUGGCAAGUCAGAUGUGAAAUCCUACAGCUUAACUGUAGAACUGCAUUUGAAACUGCUAACCUAGAGUAUGGGAGGGGGAGAUGGAAUUAGUGGUGUAGGGGUAAACUCCGUAGAUAUCACUAGGAAUACCGAAAGCGAAGGCGAUCUCCUGGAACAUAACUGACGCUAAGGCGUGAAAGCGUGGGGAGCAAACAGGAUUAGAAACCCUAGUAGUCC
This 274-nucleotide ribosomal RNA is filed under the name uncultured bacterium. RNAcentral's name for it is "partial 16S ribosomal RNA". It matches the Rfam family "Bacterial small subunit ribosomal RNA", at positions 523 to 796 of the family's 1533-position model. The record is from RNAcentral.